UAUAGAUAUAGGGAUAGAGG
This 20-nucleotide unclassified non-coding RNA is filed under the name Mus musculus (house mouse). RNAcentral's name for it is "oocyte_clustered_small_RNA11947". The record is from RNAcentral. Lineage: Eukaryota; Metazoa; Chordata; Mammalia; Rodentia; Muridae.